AAGGAGCAUCUAGGCCGCCAAACUUUGUUGGGGGUCCCAGGACCGUACCUUCGGGAAAGGCCGAAGGUGGGUGGUCAUGGGGGGAAACGUUAAUAAUCCGGCCUCUUGAUCGUCUUCUCCUUCCAGUACUGUCCCUUCGGGCGUGGAAAGUUGAGGGAAGCGGCGAAGGGGGUCGGGGACGCUGUUGGGUGUCUGAGGGGACGGCCCAUUGUUGGGCGCCCUCUCUGCCCGCCCCCGGGAAAAACUGCUUCUGCGGGUUGUGACAGGUGGGUGGGCGCUGUUUUAGAAAUGCGCACUGGACACGAGCAUCUGUG
This 314-nucleotide unclassified non-coding RNA is filed under the name Streptomyces turgidiscabies. RNAcentral's name for it is "16S-23S ribosomal RNA intergenic spacer". Lineage: Bacteria; Bacillati; Actinomycetota; Actinomycetes; Kitasatosporales; Streptomycetaceae. The record is from RNAcentral.